UACGUAGGUGGCAAGCGUUAUCCGGAUUUAUUGGGCGUAAAGCGAGCGCAGGCGGUUUUCUAAGUCUGAUGUGAAAGCCUUCGGCUUAACCGAAGAAGUGCAUCGGAAACUGGAUGACUUGAGUGCAGAAGAGGGCAGUGGAACUCCAUGUGUAGCGGUGGAAUGCGUAGAUAUAUGGAAGAACACCAGUGGCGAAGGCGGCUGCCUGGUCUGCAACUGACGCUGAGGCUCGAAAGCAUGGGUAGCGAACAGG
Molecule: ribosomal RNA, 253 nt
Filed under: uncultured bacterium
Lineage: Bacteria
Description: partial 16S ribosomal RNA
Rfam family: Bacterial small subunit ribosomal RNA
Source: RNAcentral